CAGCCAUUCCGCGUGCAGGACGAAGGCCUUCGGGUUGUAAACUGCUUUUGUACGGAACGAAAAAGCCUUGGUUAAUACCCAGGGUCCAUGACGGUACCGUAAGAAUAAGCACCGGCUAACUACGUGCCAGCAGCCGCGGUAAUACGUAGGGUGCAAGCGUUAAUCGGAAUUACUGGGCGUAAAGCGUGCGCAGGCGGUUAUAUAAGACAGAUGUGAAAUCCCCGAGCUUAACUUGGGAACUGCAUUUGUGACUGUAUAGCUAGAGUACGGCAGAGGGGGAUGGAAUUCCGCGUGUAGCAGUGAAAUGCGUAGAUAUGCGGAGGAACACCGAUGGCGAAGGCAAUCCCCUGGGCCUGUACUGACGCUCAUGCACGAAAGCGUGGGGAGCAAACAGGAUUAGAUACCCUGGUAGUCCACGCCCUAAACGAUGUCAACUGGUUGUUGGGUCUUCACUGACUCAGUAACGAAGCUAACGCGUGAAGUUGACCGCCUGGGGAGUACGGCCGCAAGGUUGAAACUCAAAGGAGUUGACGGGGACCCGCACAAGCGGUGGAUGAUGUGGUUUAAUUCGAUGCAACGCGAAAAACCUUACCCACC
Molecule: ribosomal RNA, 597 nt
Filed under: uncultured bacterium
Lineage: Bacteria
Description: bacterial SSU rRNA
Rfam family: Bacterial small subunit ribosomal RNA
Source: RNAcentral